UUUACAACUCCCAAACCCCUGUGAACAUACCUUAACGUUGCUUCGGCGGACAACCCUCGCCUUAAACCGCGAGGCCCCGCCAGAGGACCCAAACCCCAACUUUAUGUUUUAUCUUAAACCUACAUCUCUGAGUGGAUUUUAUAAAUCAAAUCAAAACUUUCAACAACGGAUCUCUUGGCUCUGGCAUCGAUGAAGAACGCAGCGAAAUGCGAUAAGUAAUGUGAAUUGCAGAAUUCAGUGAAUCAUCGAAUCUUUGAACGCACAUUGCGCCCGCCAGUAUUCUGGCGGGCAUGCCUGUUCGAGCGUCAUUAACACCCCUCAAGCCCCCGGGCUUGGUGUUGGGGAUCGGGAACGGCGGAUCGGCCCCCCGGGGCCGCGAAGCCCCCGUCCCCCAAAUGCAUCGGCGGUCACGCCGCGGCCUCUUGCGCGUAGUAGCUAACACCUCGCGCCGGAGCCCGUCGUGGUCCACGCCGCUAAACCCCCGACUUUUUACAAGUUGACCUCGAAUCAGGUAGGACUACCC
RNAcentral lists this ribosomal RNA (523 nucleotides) under ascomycete sp. olrim782. RNAcentral describes it as "eukaryotic LSU rRNA". The stretch from base 155 to 308 matches the Rfam family "5.8S ribosomal RNA". Lineage: Eukaryota; Fungi; Ascomycota. The record is from RNAcentral.